GAUCAACGCUGGCGGCGUGCUUAACACAUGCAAGUCGAACGAAGUUUUUCUUUCGGGAGGAACUUAGAGGCGGACGGGUGAGUAACGCGUGGGUAACCUGCCCUGUACAGGGGGACAACAGCUGGAAACGGCUGCUAAUACCGCAUAAGCCCUUAGCACUGCAUGGUGCAUAGGGAAAAGGAGCAAUCCGGUACAGGAUGGACCCGCGUCUGAUUAGCCAGUUGGCAGGGUAACGGCCUACCAAAGCGACGAUCAGUAGCCGAUCUGAGAGGAUGUACGGCCACAUUGGGACUGAGACACGGCCCAGACUCCUACGGGAGGCAGCAGUGGGGAAUAUUGCACAAUGGAGGAAACUCUGAUGCAGCGACGCCGCGUGAGUGAAGAAGUAUUUCGGUAUGAAAAGCUCUAUCAGCAGGAAAGAAAAUGACGGUACCUGACUAAGAAGCACCGGCUAAAUACGUG
This 462-nucleotide ribosomal RNA is filed under the name uncultured bacterium. RNAcentral describes it as "partial 16S ribosomal RNA". It matches the Rfam family "Bacterial small subunit ribosomal RNA", at positions 28 to 507 of the family's 1533-position model. The record is from RNAcentral.